This 274-nucleotide ribosomal RNA is filed under the name uncultured bacterium. Its description in RNAcentral is "partial 16S ribosomal RNA". It matches the Rfam family "Bacterial small subunit ribosomal RNA", at positions 523 to 796 of the family's 1533-position model. The record is from RNAcentral.
AUACGGAGGGUGCAAACGUUGUUCGGAAUUACUGGGCGUAAAGCGCGCGUAGGCGGUUUGUUAAGUCAGAUGUGAAAGUCCACAGCUCAACUGUGGAAGUGCAUUUGAAACAGGCAGACUCGAGUACUGGAGGGGGUGGUGGAAUUCCCGGUGUAGAGGUGAAAUUCGUAGAUAUCGGGAGGAAUACCGGUGGCGAAGGCGACCACCUGGCCAGAUACUGACGCUGAGGUGCGAAAGCGUGGGUAGCAAACAGGAUUAGAAACCCCAGUAGUCC